Molecule: non-coding RNA, 3030 nt
Organism: Rhopilema esculentum
Lineage: Eukaryota; Metazoa; Cnidaria; Scyphozoa; Rhizostomeae; Rhizostomatidae
Source: RefSeq, a predicted model, not a curated record
ACUUGGAAUUUUUUUCUUAAGACCAAACUUGUGAAUUUUAUAUUUUAAGAAGUUUUUUUAUCUUAAAUAUAAAAAUUCUAAACAUUAAAAUUCACAGGCUGAAGCUGACCCAUCCAAUCGUUUUCUAUUGUGAAUCCCGUCUCCACUGGAUCCAAGUUGCACAAUUGCCCCGUUUGCUUUCUUUCUGACGGGAGUUGAAUCAAAUUACGAACAGGCAAGGUGAAUUUCCGGAUAAGAAACUUGAAACUUUAUAGUUUGGAAUAAUAAUUCCCGUAUUGAUCAGAAAGCAUUAGAGUGGGAGUUUUUUAAGAAACUACGAGUAGUUAAUUCAAUAAAAGAUUAAUAAUCUUUCAGUACUAAAAAUUCUCAACGCUUCUUAUAAAAAACGAGUUUAUGCUAAACUCCCCCUGUUAUUUGUUAAUGUCCUUGAGUCCUUUCAUAAAUUCCUAUGACAAAACUGCUGUGGAGCAAGAACACAUUGCAAAAACUGCAGUAGAAGUAUUUGAUCAAAGAAGAGUAUUUCAUCUUUCGAAUCAGGCAUAUGCACAAGUUUGUUCUCAAAUCAUCAUUUCAAUUGUAAAGAAUGAAAAGGCAUUUGGCCCUCUGAAAAGUUUAAAGGCCCAAAUUCUUGGUGCUUCUAUAUCGUGAAAAAAUGUAUUUUAGAUAAAAUUGAUCAAUUGAUCUGAAAGAAUACUACUAAUCAUUAAGUAUAUCUAAUACUGGUUUUGCUUAAAUGUUGCUUUACUUCUUACAGUAUGUUUAAUGUUUGUUUCAUGUUAAUCAAAAUUUAGAGAUUUAGGCUUUUAUGCUUUAGGCUAAUUAUUGAGUAAAGAUUUGGUAAUUAUAAAGAAAAUAGAACUAUGGUCCUCGGGCUAUUUACAAAUAUCAAUUUGGUAGGUACAACAGAUCUACUGGUCGAAUGAAAAAUUUAUCACUUGAAGUUGGAAUUUUCAUACUUCCACGCCCCCCCAAAAUUAGCAACUUGUUUUCGUCCCUGAAUUGAAUAGUGUCAUAUUUCGGUGGAAGAGCUCCAGCAUUGGCAGCACCAUUAAUUGCUUCUUCAAAUGAAAGUGGAGGGUCAUUUGUCAAUUAAAACGCACCAACAGCGUUCCUUGAGUCCAUGAAAACGACCCCUUCUUUUGUGGCAUCUGAAUAUGAAGGUGAUGCAUCUGCAGAAAAUCAAUAACUUCUGUUAGAUUAAGAAUCGAAUUGACAGCUGGAGCGUUGGUUUCUACAACUAAUGGCAGAAGAAGGGAAGCACUUGUCGGAGCAGAUAUUUCAAGAGCAUUUAUAAAAACACAUUGUUGGAAUAAAUCUGUAUUAGACAAAAACAGAGGAACUUCUAAGAAAGAGGUCAUAAAAUCGUAAGAAUAAUGUAGGGGAGAGUAGAGUAGAGUAGAGUAGAGUAGAGUAGAGUAGAGUAGAGUAGAGUAGAGUAGAGUAGAGUAGAGUAGAGUAGAGUAGAGUAGAGUAGAGUAGAGUAGAGUAGAGUAAAGUAGAGUAGAUUAGAGUAGAGUAGAGUAGAGAAGAGAAAAGUAGAGAAAAGUAGAGUAGAGUAGAGUAGAGUUGAGUAGAGUAGAGUAGCGCAGAGUAGAUUAGAGUAGAGUAGAGUAGAGUAGAGUAGAGUAGAGAAGAGUAGAUUAGAGUAGAGUAGUGUAGUGAUUUUAAUAUUGUAAAUUAGGCCAUAUUCCUACAUCAUGCCAUCACCAUGACAUCCACCUACGUCAUUCACAGCAUCACCUAGCACAGGACAUUCCCUUCAGCAUUGUACUCACAUUCACACAUCUAUGUCAUGCUGACUUCUUCCCAAGCCUAGAUCUUUCCUUCUCCAUUGCAUCAUCAUUACAUCAUCACAGCACAUCAUUACUCAGCACAUUUAUUUUGUAUAUAAGUAUGUUAAUUUGUAUGUAAUUCAGUCAGUCAGUCAAGUUCAGUUCAGAUCAGAGUUAUACAGCAAUACACUGCCUCUCUCACUGGCUCCGUGUUCUCUGCACGUUAAAUAAGAUUCGUCGAAGCGAACACCAACGAUGGAAAGUCACAAGAUAUGAUAGGAACCAUUGCAAUUCUUGUCACAUAAUAGCGUUCCUAUAAUGGUGACCACGACGUGACCCGCAAAUCCAUCGUUGGUCAAUUCUACUUCAACUACAACAUCAACUCUUCGAUGGCAUCAGACACAUCAAGUUUUUCAUCAACAAGGAUUCGUCAACAUCAACUCAGCUUCACACACACAACCCAGCUCAUUUGGAUUUAUCGACAAUCAUCAGCACUCGACUCACCGUAGUGCUCUUCAACACAAGCAACAAGCACUCGACUCACCGUAGUGCCCUCAACGCAUCGCAGCACUCGACUCACCGUAGUGCCCUCAAACACAUCGCAGCACUCGACUCACCGUAGUGCCCUCAAACGCAUCGCAGCACUCGACUCACCGUAGUGCUUCCACGCAACAUUAACGAUCAAUAACUCCUCAACAAACUGGUUCCUGGUCAUCCAACGUAAAAACUUCGCACAAAUCUCCCAAAUCACGAACAGAAGAAAACACCGGCUACGUCUCGAACUCUCGUCGAUUUAUAACGGUUGGACAUUUAAAUUUCGAACAAUUAAUAUUUUAUCGCAAUUCACUCAUAUUUUUAAUUCAUCGAUUUUACAAUAUUAAAAUUUAUUCCUAGUUCUUUUCCCUUGCGUAUCGAAUGCUUCACAACCGCUUGCAUUCUAAGGGGGGAGCUAUUGUAGUGAUUUUAAUAUUGUAAAUUAGGCCAUAUUCCUACAUCAUGCCAUCACCAUGACAUCCACCUACGUCAUUCACAGCAUCACCUAGCACAGGACAUUCCCUUCAGCAUUGUACUCACAUUCACACAUCUAUGUCAUGCUGACUUCUUCCCAAGCCUAGAUCUUUCCUUCUCCAUUGCAUCAUCAUUACAUCAUCACAGCACAUCAUUACUCAGCACAUUUAUUUUGUAUAUAAGUAUGUUAAUUUGUAUGUAAUUCAGUCAGUCAGUCAAGUUCAGUUCAGAUCAGAGUUAUACAGCAAUA